This 440-nucleotide ribosomal RNA is filed under the name uncultured Pantoea sp. RNAcentral's name for it is "bacterial SSU rRNA". It matches the Rfam family "Bacterial small subunit ribosomal RNA", at positions 358 to 790 of the family's 1533-position model. The record is from RNAcentral. Lineage: Bacteria; Pseudomonadati; Pseudomonadota; Gammaproteobacteria; Enterobacterales; Erwiniaceae.
GGAAUAUUGCACAAUGGGCGCAAGCCUGAUGCAGCCAUGCCGCGUGUAUGAAGAAGGCCUUCGGGUUGUAAAGUACUUUCAGCGGGGAGGAAGGCGAUGCGGUUAAUAACCGCGUCGAUUGACGUUACCCGCAGAAGAAGCACCGGCUAACUCCGUGCCAGCAGCCGCGGUAAUACGGAGGGUGCAAGCGUUAAUCGGAAUUACUGGGCGUAAAGCGCACGCAGGCGGUCUGUUAAGUCAGAUGUGAAAUCCCCGGGCUUAACCUGGGAACUGCAUUUGAAACUGGCAGGCUUGAGUCUUGUAGAGGGGGGUAGAAUUCCAGGUGUAGCGGUGAAAUGCGUAGAGAUCUGGAGGAAUACCGGUGGCGAAGGCGGCCCCCUGGACAAAGACUGACGCUCAGGUGCGAAAGCGUGGGGAGCAAACAGGAUUAGAUACCCUUG